GACGAACGCUGGCGGCGUGCCUAAUACAUGCAAGUAGAACGCACAGUUUAUACCGUAGCUUGCUACACCAUAGACUGUGAGUUGCGAACGGGUGAGUAACGCGUAGGUAACCUGCCUGGUAGCGGGGGAUAACUAUUGGAAACGAUAGCUAAUACCGCAUAAUAUUAAUUAUUGCAUGAUAAUUAAUUGAAAGGUGCAAUUGCACCACUACCAGAUGGACCUGCGUUGUAUUAGCUAGUAGGGGAGGUAACGGCUCACCUAGGCGACGAUACAUAGCCGACCUGAGAGGGUGAUCGGCCACACUGGGACUGAGACACGGCCCAGACUCCUACGGGAGGCAGCAGUAGGGAAUCUUCGGCGAUGGACGAAAGUCUGACCGAGCAACGCCGCGUGAGUGAAGAAGGUUUUCGGAUCGUAAAGCUCUGUUGUAAGAGAAGAACGGGUGUGAGAGUGGAAAGGUCACACUGUGACGGUAUCUUACCAGAAAGGGACGGCUAACUACGU
This 504-nucleotide ribosomal RNA is filed under the name uncultured bacterium. RNAcentral's name for it is "partial 16S ribosomal RNA". It matches the Rfam family "Bacterial small subunit ribosomal RNA", at positions 28 to 506 of the family's 1533-position model. The record is from RNAcentral.